GGAUUCCCCUAGUAACGGCGAGUGAAGCGGGAUGAGCUCAAAUUUAAAAUCUGGCUGGUUUACUAGUCCGAAUUGUAGUUUAUAGAAGCGUUUUCGGUGGCAGCCUGGGUAUAAAUCCUUUGGAAUAGGGUAUCAUAGAGGGUGAGAAUCCCGUCUUUGACUCAGUGCAUGCUACUAUGUGAUACGUUUUCAAAGAGUCGAGUUGUUUGGGAAUGCAGCUCAAAAUGGGUGGUAAAUUUCAUCUAAGGCUAAAUAUUGGCGAGAGACCGAUAGCGAACAAGUACCGUGAGGGAAAGAUGAAAAGAACUUUGAAAAGAGAGUUAAACAGUGCGUGAAAUUGUUGAAAGGGAAACGUUUGACACCAGUUAUGCGGGUGGAAAAUCAGUCUUUUGCAAUGGGGAGUUGUGGGCGUUCAGACCGCAAGGCUGGCGUUUGCUUCAUCUUUGUUGUAAGUGAUGCACUUUUUCAUUUGCAGGUCAACAUCAGUUUGCUUUGCUGGACAAAACCCCAAGGGAAGGUGGCAGCUUAGGCUGUGUUAUAGCCCUGGGGCGAUACAGUGGAGUGGACUGAGGUUUCGCAGUGUGUGCUCUCGGGCAAGGCUGACUGGGUGCUAUGGGAUCGUUCGGCGUACAAUGCAUGCAUUUUGCGUCGUGUCUUUUUCAUACUCGCUCAACUCGGCUCUUCCACGCUUAGGAUGUUGACUUAAUGGUUUUAAACGACCCGUCUUGAAACACGGACC
RNAcentral lists this ribosomal RNA (739 nucleotides) under Linnemannia exigua. RNAcentral's name for it is "eukaryotic LSU rRNA". It matches the Rfam family "Eukaryotic large subunit ribosomal RNA", at positions 72 to 667 of the family's 3401-position model. Lineage: Eukaryota; Fungi; Mortierellomycota; Mortierellomycetes; Mortierellales; Mortierellaceae. The record is from RNAcentral.